Molecule: non-coding RNA, 46 nt
Organism: Glossina palpalis gambiensis
Lineage: Eukaryota; Metazoa; Arthropoda; Insecta; Diptera; Glossinidae
Source: Rfam
AACACGGAUCUUUUCAGAUCUAAACAAUUAACACUAAAAAAAAACG